RNAcentral lists this transfer RNA (72 nucleotides) under Camelus bactrianus (Bactrian camel). It matches the Rfam family "tRNA". From Rfam's summary of the family: Transfer RNA (tRNA) molecules are approximately 80 nucleotides in length. Their secondary structure includes four short double-helical elements and three loops (D, anti-codon, and T loops). RNAcentral also lists the same sequence under 2 other names. Lineage: Eukaryota; Metazoa; Chordata; Mammalia; Artiodactyla; Camelidae. The record is from Rfam by way of RNAcentral.
GGGAGUAUGGCUCAGUGGUAAAACAUGUGCUUGGUGUGCACAAGGUCCCGGGUUCAAUCCCCAGUGCCUCUG